This is a non-coding RNA of Malus domestica (apple), 2454 nucleotides long. The record is from RefSeq and is a predicted model, not a curated record. Lineage: Eukaryota; Viridiplantae; Streptophyta; Magnoliopsida; Rosales; Rosaceae.
GCGUGUUCUCUCUCAGAUUUCUCGAGCUCUCUCUCGAAGGUUUAGUAAACCUUUCCAUUUCCUUCCAGUGCUGAUCUCUCCAAUCAGAACCCACGAACUACAAACACAAAUCCACUAAAUGUCUUCCUUCUCUCUUCCUCUCACUCGCCUUUCUACUUUUUCUCUCUUUAAAAUUCCAUCUCUCUCCAAAAUUCCAUUUCUCUCUCCUCCUUCAAACCACUUUAUCUCUCCAGAAGUCCAUCGCCACUGCCUUUUCUCUAAUGGUUGAAUUUGGGUCUACAUAAACCCUUCGAUCUUUUAUUUGUAGGGUUUUGAAAAGGAGGAUGAGCAUGAUGUUGUUUGGUUUUGGCUGGAGAAAGAGAAGCCACAUGAAUGCCCAGUCUGCACACAUUAGGUUGUGUGUUUUGAAGGAACAAGAAGACACAUAAUAGAACCUGAAUGGGAAGAAGAAAGAAGAAAGCCAGCUUUUCAACCGAUAAGCUAUAAUCAAUCCCCUCGAUCUCCUCAUCGGCGGCGGCGGUGGUGACCACCAGGUUCACCUUUUUAAUUUCAUUUUAAUUUUUGCUCUUUUUAGUCAAUUUAACAAAUGAAGAAUCUGAAAACGUUAAGCACUCCAAACGGUUGACCAAAUUUAAACUGAAAAUUGAGCCUAUUUAAGAGAGUUGAUUAGUGAAGAAUGCUUACUUUUGUUACCUAGAGGUGUUUAUAAAGAAUCUGAUGUAACAUAUAGUAUUAACUAGAAGUCUAUCACAACAUCCCACAGUCUAUCAUAAUCUCUCCAGACCCUUUUUUCACUGAUAUUGUGUGUCCUGCAAAACUUAUUUUUUGUGCAGAUUAAUUCAAAAUCAUGCUAUGGAUAUACAUGGGAAAUUGCAAACAAGUUUCCAUCUAUCCCAGAUAUCUUUUUUUUUUCUCUCAGUUUUAUGUGUUAUUUUACAAUUAGUUUGUCUAUCUGCUCUAGCUUUAAAGAAAGGAUCCAAAAUUUACAUUGCUCGGUAAUCUAUAAACAUUGAAAACAAUAGAAGGUUAGUUGUUGUAUGCAAGUUUUUGAGAAAAUGGUGUUGAGAAUCUGAUAAUUUGGGAGAUGCAAGGUUUUGAAAAAAUGGUAUUGAGAAUAUGAUAAUUUGGGAGUGAGUGAUCAUAAGACCAAAACAAAUCGGAAUUGUUAUUUCUGACAAAGCUUCUUUAUUUCAACUUCAGGCAUUUCCUAGCUUAGAAUAUUUCUUGAGGACCAGAAUGUAGUUUUCGUUUUUAGAAUAUUGUCAUUUGACUUGCUGAAAUAUUCAGGAACCUAAGUUUAAAUGGUGCUCUCAUCUCUAUGAUCUAGAGCUGAUCAAAUUUUAUGACUAAUUAAACUAUUGUUUACUUGCAAAGAUGUCAUUAACUUUCAAUUGACUUUUGUAGUACGUUUGGAACCAAGCUGAAUUUGAUAUCAUUAAGCUAAAGACAAGAAUUAGUCCAUUUCCAUCUCAAAAAGCAGCAGAUGACAAUUAAACCACCAUGCAUCAGGUAACCUUCACGCUCAGAUUGCAUUCAAUGGCUAUCUAGACCAAAAGAACCUACAGUAGAUCAUUACUAACUCGGGGUAGAUUAAAAAGAGUUUAGGUCUGGCGGACUUUUACAGUUUAGGGAAGAAUACCAAGAUUUACAUUUUGUUUAACUCCCUAAAUAAACAUGUGCAUUUUGUUAAUAGUAUUGAAAACUAUUGUAUAAAACAUUUUCCAGGGGAUUUUGUUGAUUAUGUAACUGUGAAUUUUGGGCAUUUAGAGAGUUUUGGAGGUUCUACGAUUUAUGGUACCGUGCAUCGUAUAAGGCUUAAGAAGUCACCAUUACAUCUCUUAUCUAAGAGCCAAUAUUUAAGUUGGUGAGUAAACAAUAAAAUGAGUGUUAUGCAAGUUAAUUAAGUUCUGCAUAUUGAUUUUAAGGCUAAUUAUGUUGUGUUACGUAUAAGUACACACCAAUUAUAUUCUUUCGAAGAAUACAUUAGUUUAUAUAGUAGCACAAUGAUUGCGAACAUUGAAAAAUCUCAAGUAACUUAAAUUAUCAUGCUAGAUCCUAAACUUUUCUAAUCUUUGCUUACAAAGAGUUGAUGACUAGGUAGUGAUUUCUAUUGAGCACCAGUUAUUUGCACCUCUUUUCCCUCCUUCCAUAAUUGAAGUGCUUUUGACUCUAUGUAGUAAUGAUUUACAAGAUAAAAUUGUAGAAUUUUUUUUCUUCCAUUGUGUUUCCUUUUUCAAAAAUUAAGAUAGAAAGGGAAUGCUAUGAUAAUUUGAGGUUUUUGUUUUGAUAUUCAUAUGUGUACUUUAGCUGGUACAUAAAAAAGAGAUUUGGUUUGUAGAUAUAGUCAUUAGUAAUGCUUUUAUGGUUUUCUUUAAUGUGGAGAAAAUUGGGAUUCCUUUUAAAAGAUUUUAUUGCUCAUAUGGUUAGGGAGUACUUACAAGAACUUCGUUUUCU